This 561-nucleotide ribosomal RNA is filed under the name uncultured bacterium. RNAcentral's name for it is "bacterial SSU rRNA". It matches the Rfam family "Bacterial small subunit ribosomal RNA", at positions 8 to 558 of the family's 1533-position model. The record is from RNAcentral.
AGAGUUUGAUCCUGGCUCAGAUUGAACGCUGGCGGCAUGCCUUACACAUGCAAGUCGAGCGGCAGCGCGGGGGCAACCCUGGCGGCGAGCGGCGAACGGGUGAGUAAUGCAUCGGAACGUGUCCUCUUGUGGGGGAUAACCAGUCGAAAGACUGGCUAAUACCGCAUGAGCUCGCAAGAGGAAAGCAGGGGACCCGCAAGGGCCUUGCGCGAGAGGAGCGGCCGAUGCCGGAUUAGCUAGUUGGUGGGGUAAAAGCCCACCAAGGCGACGAUCCGUAGCUGGUAUGAGAGUACGACCAGCCACACUGGGACUGAGACACGGCCCAGACUCCUACGGGAGGCAGCAGUAGGGAAUUUUGGACAAUGGGCGCAAGCCUGAUCCAGCCAUGCCGCGUGUGUGGAGAAGGCCUUCGGGUUUGUAAGCACUUUCGGACGGAACGAAAUCGCGCGGGCGAAUAUCCCGCGUGGAUGACGGUACCGUAAGAAGAAGCACCGGCUAACUACGUGCCAGCAGCCGCGGUAAUACGUAGGGUGGCGAGGGGUUAAUUCGGAAAUUAAUGGG